UCUGGUUGAUCCCGGCGGAGGUCACUGCUAUCGGGGUUCGACUAAGCCAUGCAAGUCGAGAGGGGUAAAGCCCUCGGCGAACUGCUCAGUAACACGUGGAUAACCUGACCUAGGGUGGAGGAUAACCCCGGGAAACUGGGGAUAAUACUCCAUAGGCUACGGAAGCUGGAAUGCUCUGUAACCCAAAGCUCCGGCGCCCUAGGAUGGGUCUGCGGCCGAUUAGGUUGUUGUUGGGGUAACGGCCCAACAAGCCGAUCAUCGGUACGGGUUGUGGGAGCAAGAGCCCGGAGAUGGAUUCUGAGACAUGAAUCCAGGCCCUACGGGGCGCAGCAGGCGCGAAAACUUUACAAUGCGGGAAACCGUGAUAAGGGGACCCCGAGUGCCUGUACACGCAGGCUGUUCAGGUGUUUAAAACGCAUCUGGAGAAAGGGCCGGGCAAGACCGGUGCCAGCCGCCGCGGUAAUACCGGCGGCUCGAGUGGUGGCCACUAUUACUGGGCUUAAAGCGUCCGUAGCCGGGUCGUUAAGUCUCUUGGGAAAUCCAACGGCUCAACCGUUGGGCGUUCAAGGGAUACUGGCGAUCUAGGGACUGGGGGAGGUGAGAGGUACUCUAGGGGUAGGAGUGAAAUCCUGUAAUCCUUGGGGGACCACCUGUGGCGAAGGCGUCUCACCAGAACAGCUCCGACGGUGAGGGACGAAAGCUGGGGGAGCAAACCGGAUUAGAUACCCGGGUAGUCCCAGCUGUAAACGAUGCGCGUUAGGUGUAUCGGUGACUACGAGUUACCGAGGUGCCGAAGGGAAACCGUGAAACGUGCCGCCUGGGAAGUACGGUCGCAAGGCUGAAACUUAAAGGAAUUGGCGGGGGAGCACCACAACGGGUGGAGCCUGCGGUUUAAUUGGACUCAACGCCGGGAAGCUCACCGGGUAAGACAGCGGAGUGAUAGCCAGGCUGAAGACUUUGCUUGACCAGCUGAGAGGAGGUGCAUGGCCGUCGUCAGUUCGUACUGUGAAGCAUCCUGUUAAGUCAGGCAACGAGCGAGACCCA
Molecule: ribosomal RNA, 1044 nt
Filed under: uncultured archaeon
Lineage: Archaea
Description: bacterial SSU rRNA
Rfam family: Archaeal small subunit ribosomal RNA
Source: RNAcentral